CGGCAACAGCUCAAAUUUGAAAUCUGGCCCUCGGGUCCGAAUUGUAAUUUGUAGAGGAUGCUUUUGGUGAGGUACCUUCCGAGUUCCCUGGAAUGGGACGCCAUAGAGGGUGAGAGCCCCGUAUAGUCGUGCACCAGGCCGUUGUAAAGCACCUUCGA
RNAcentral lists this ribosomal RNA (158 nucleotides) under Nectriaceae sp. RNAcentral's name for it is "partial large subunit ribosomal RNA". It matches the Rfam family "Eukaryotic large subunit ribosomal RNA", at positions 99 to 260 of the family's 3401-position model. The record is from RNAcentral. Lineage: Eukaryota; Fungi; Ascomycota; Sordariomycetes; Hypocreales; Nectriaceae.